CCUACGGGAGGCAGCAGUGGGGAAUUUUGGACAAUGGGGGCAACCCUGAUCCAGCCAUUCCGCGUGAGUGAAGAAGGCCUUCGGGUUGUAAAGCUCUUUCGCAAGGGAAGAAAACUUAUGAUCGAAUAAAUCAUGAGGUUGACGGUACCUUGAUAAGAAGCACCGGCUAACUACGUGCCAGCAGCCGCGGUAAUACGUAGGGUGCGAGCGUUAAUCGGAAUUACUGGGCGUAAAGCGUGCGCAGGCGGUUUUGUAAGUCGGAUGUGAAAUCCCCGGGCUCAACCUGGGAACUGCGUUCGAAACUGCAAGGCUGGAGUGUGUCAGAGGGGGGUAGAAUUCCACGUGUAGCAGUGAAAUGCGUAGAGAUGUGGAGGAAUACCAAUGGCGAAGGCAGCCCCCUGGGAUAACACUGACGCUCAUGCACGAAAGCGUGGGGAGCAAACAGGAUUUAGAUACCCUGGUAAGUCCCGACGACCGUAACCGACUAGUACUACUACGUUAGUUGGUUAGGUAGUAAAUACUAUAGUAGUAACGUAGUACGUACGACGUGUAGUAGUACGCCGUCGGAGGUACGGUCGCGAGAUAAACUAACAANAGAGUAGAGCGUGAGACGUGCGACGGACGACGACGAGGGAGGAGG
Molecule: ribosomal RNA, 640 nt
Filed under: uncultured bacterium
Lineage: Bacteria
Description: bacterial SSU rRNA
Rfam family: Bacterial small subunit ribosomal RNA (bases 1-562)
Source: RNAcentral